GCGUAGCUCAAUUGGUAAGAGCGUGCUGCUAAUAAUGCCAAGAUGGCAGGUUCAAUCCCCGUAUGGGACAGCUGCA
Molecule: non-coding RNA, 76 nt
Organism: Podarcis lilfordi (Lilford's wall lizard)
Lineage: Eukaryota; Metazoa; Chordata; Lepidosauria; Squamata; Lacertidae
Source: the annotation of a GenBank genome assembly